AAGGCCAACAGACAGGUCUAGCCAUGGACCAGAAAAUGACCAUUGUAUCCAACUUCUUCAGUGGAGGAUCCAGUGAGCCAUAUUUUUCCCCAGUGGAAACGUCGCUCUUUCUCAUAGGAAGGAUAUCAGUGGGUAUUGGCACUGGAAAGUUAAACUUUUCCCAUGCUUAUUAAAAUGGAUUUUCAUACAAUUUAGCUGGUUCUUUUGUUCGUUUGAAGCCCAUCUCUUGAAUCUGUUGAGAUAGUUUUGGUUUCUGCUCCUGUCUUCUGAAGUAUUGGCUAUCCUCCCAAUUUGGUGUUGUCUGCAAACGUGAUUAUCGUGCCUUCUAACCCUUCAUCUAAAGAUGUUGAACAGAACCGGUUCCAGGACUGAACCCUGCUCUGGCACUCUGCUCGUCACUUCUUUCCAGGAUGAAGAGGAAGCAUUGGUGAACACCCCUUGGGAUCCUUGACUUAACCACUUACAGAUCCACCUAACCGUAAUUUUGCCUAGCCCACAUUUGACUAGUUUGUUUGCCAGAAGGUCAUGGGGGAUCUUGUCAAAGGCCUUAAAGGUCCCUGGUAAGUGAUGCGGGGCAUGGAGCGACACUUUCUCUACUCUUCCCGCUGGGACCCCAUGGAUUCACCAUGAUGCGUGACAAAUCCAUAGACCUUUGUGAUGAGGUCCUACGACAAAUUCAUCUUGCUAUCCUGGGAGCGGCGGGAGCGGCCGCUGUUAGCUCCAGCUCCUGCCAACCUAGCAGUUCGAAAACAUGCUAAUGUGAGUAGAUCAAUAGGUACCGCUCCGGCGGGAAGGUAACAGCACUCCAUGCAGUCAUGCUGGCCACAUGACCUUGGAGUGUCUACGGACAACGCUAGCCCUUCGGCUUAGAAAUGGAGAUGAGCACCAACCCCCAGAGUCAGACAUGACUGGACUUAACGUCAGGGGAAACCUUUACCUUUACCUUCUCUGGGUGGAAGAGGGGAUGUGACUACAGUAUAGAUAGAGGUAAUUCUGAUACAUUCACUGGGCCUUUAUAGCAAAUGAACACUAGAUAUUGAGGAAUUAAAUUAGUCCCCUAUGUGACUUCCUAUCCAGUAACUACCUGUUUUGUAUAAAAACACCCAAUAGUCUGAAAAAAGACUCUAAAAGGAUGAGGCUCCCAGCAAAGUGGUACACAUAAUCAACAAUGCCCCACAAGGCUUGGUUAUGGUAUUGUCAUUUGGUGACAGAAACACUUAAAUUUCCAAAUUUUGGGAAGUGGUCAGGAGGACUUUUAGAAAUUCCAAAUGGCCUCAAGAACCAAGUGCACCCCAGGGGAUGAGGAAGUGGAUCUUGGCUCUGAAAUCUGACAGUCCUCUUUUACAUGUUGCUGCGUGUCUCCCAAGUUGUUUCCAAAUUGUGGCGACCCAGAAAUGAACCUAUCAUGGGGGUUUUCCCGGCAAGAUUUGUUCAGCGAGGGAUUUCCCUUUGCCUUCCUCUGAGGCUGAGAGUG
This 1474-nucleotide long non-coding RNA is filed under the name Anolis carolinensis (green anole). RNAcentral's name for it is "lncRNA (ENSACAG00000040269.1)". The record is from RNAcentral. Lineage: Eukaryota; Metazoa; Chordata; Lepidosauria; Squamata; Anolidae.